Molecule: transfer RNA, 51 nt
Filed under: Ampelopsis glandulosa
Lineage: Eukaryota; Viridiplantae; Streptophyta; Magnoliopsida; Vitales; Vitaceae
Description: partial tRNA-Leu
Source: RNAcentral
GAAAAUCCGUUGACUUUAAAAAUCGUGAGGGUUCAAGUCCCUCUAUCCCCA